GAGUUCAGGGUGAGCUCAGCUGGUCGGCCUAAUGGGUCAUAACUGGUUGACUCUCCCUUGGUUGUGGAUCCCUCCGGAGUUAAUUCUUCGGGUGUGGAGUCCACAUCGUUUACCUUGAAAAAAUUAGAGUGUUCAAAGCAGGCGUUUGCUUGAAUAUAUUAGCAUGGAAUAAUGGAAUAGGACGCUGGUUCUAUUUUGUUGGUUUUGAGAACCAGAGUAAUGAUUAAUAGGGACAGUUGGGGGCAUUCAUAUUUCAUUGUCAGAGGUGAAAUUCUUGGAUUUAUGAAAGAUGAACUUCUGCGAAAGCAUUUGCCAAGGAUGUUUUCAUUAAUCAAGAACGAAAGUUAGGGGAUCGAAGACGAUCAGAUACCGUCGUAGGCUUAACCAUAAACUAUGCCGACUACGGAUUGGGCGUGAUUUGUUCAUUGACCCGC
This 434-nucleotide ribosomal RNA is filed under the name uncultured eukaryote. RNAcentral describes it as "bacterial SSU rRNA". It matches the Rfam family "Eukaryotic small subunit ribosomal RNA", at positions 637 to 1079 of the family's 1831-position model. The record is from RNAcentral.